Molecule: non-coding RNA, 107 nt
Organism: Caenorhabditis elegans
Lineage: Eukaryota; Metazoa; Nematoda; Chromadorea; Rhabditida; Rhabditidae
Source: Ensembl
AGAGUACUGAUAGAGAGAAAUAGAAUAUCGGAUUAGAUGCGUCGUUUUGCAUUUUUGAUGGGAGAGGGAGGACGAGAAGGCAGACAAAAUAAAGAUGAAUAUGUUGA